This 489-nucleotide ribosomal RNA is filed under the name uncultured bacterium. RNAcentral's name for it is "partial 16S ribosomal RNA". It matches the Rfam family "Bacterial small subunit ribosomal RNA", at positions 28 to 507 of the family's 1533-position model. The record is from RNAcentral.
GACGAACGCUGGCGGCGUGCUUAACACAUGCAAGUCGAACGGUGAAGGGAUCAGCUUGCUGGUUCUGGAUGAGUGGCGAACGGGUGAGUAACACGUGAGUAACCUGCCCCCUUCUUCUGGAUAACCGCAUGAAAGUGUAGCUAAUACGGGAUAUUCUGCGCCUGCUGCAUGGUGGGUGUGGGAAAGAUAUUGUUUCGGUGGGGGAUGGGCUCGCGGCCUAUCAGCUUGUUGGUGGGGUGAUGGCCUACCAAGGCGGUGACGGGUAGCCGGCCUGAGAGGGUGGACGGUCACACUGGGACUGAGACACGGCCCAGACUCCUACGGGAGGCAGCAGUGGGGAAUAUUGCACAAUGGGCGCAAGCCUGAUGCAGCGACGCCGCGUGAGGGAUGGAGGCCUUCGGGUUGUGAACCUCUUUCGCCAGUGAAGCAGGCCUGUCCCUUGUGGGUGGGUUGACGGUAGCUGGAUAAGAAGCGCCGGCUAACUACGUG